UGCAAUACACAAGAAUUACAUUCCAGUUUCUAUGCUGGAAUAAUGUCACAUACAACUUCAUUGGAAAUAACAGAUACUGUUUUUUUCACAGAAUCUCAGAAUGGCUGAGGUUGGAAAGGACCUCUGGAGAUCAUCUGGUCCAACUGACUUGCAAAGCAGGAUCGCCUAUAGCACAUUGCACAGGAUGACAUCCAGAAGGGUUCUGAAUAUCUCCAGAGAAGGAGACUCCACAACCUCUCUGGACAAUCUGAGCCAGUGCUCUGUCACCCUGAUCUCAGUCUUUUUCUCCAUCUUAAAAAUACUCCCAAACUAUUUAACUUAGAUUCUACAAAAUGACCAUGCUAGAUCAAAAGACUUUUUUUUGCGUUUACACGGGUAGAGAAACACACUUGAUCUGUAAGUUAAUACUUGGCCAUGAAAAAUGGAAAAUCAGUUUGUCUGUGGACAUGCAAGAGCAGCACAGAAAACACUGCAUGAGACACAUUAGAGUAUUCAGAACCACUGACAGAAAACUGGAUCUAGAAAGCCCAUGUUGUUCUUACUUUUCAUAUAGCUCAGUGACAUUUACUUAAGCCACUGGGAAUUUCUUGUGACUAAUUAUCUAAUCAGAGCAGCUGGAUCCAUGAACUACGUGGCAUACACUAACCCAGCCCUCAUUAACACGAGGAUUUAAUUUCUAAAAACAUUUAACACUGUACAGUAUUUAAAACCAUCUGACAUUUUUCACACGCUCCUAACCCUUCAAACUGCAUUAAGCAGGUCAAUAAACAGGACUUGUUCAACCAAGUUUUUGUUGUCAUUUUUGCAAGAAAACCACUUAUGAUGCAGAUGAUUAGGGGAGUUAGUACCGCUGUUCUUGGUGGAGCAUAAAGGCUGUAAUUCUGCAGGAGUUGUGCUACACAUUCAUAGUACACAAGGGAUCACUGUGACCCAUUGUGUAUACUGCAAAUGGUCGGCAAACUGAGCGAGUUAUGGGUUCAGAGAACAAUUAAAACAAUGAGAGCCACUGCCACUCUUUUAGUAUUAGAGAAGACAGACACCUUUCUUCAGCAGCUGUCAGGCAGCAGUCCCCCUACCAUUUAACAGUUUCUUGUGAUUUUUGGCAGCACAUAUCCCAUCUGAGCUAAGACUCAGAUGUUCCCUAUCUAAGAAGAGAAAGUAUCCCUUUUUUAAUGAGUACUAUACACUUGUACAGGCAGAACAAAACUAUUGCUUUGUACAGGCAGACUGAAACAGACUGAUUUCAGUCUCAUUGGCUGCCUAUCCCAGGCAGGACAGCCAUGGUGCUACUACGAGCAGAAACAAGGCCACAAGACUCACAGCUGCUUGAUGCAAUUCACAAUACAGUUCUGACAGAGGAAUGGCUGAUUGAUUUAUUCAAGUAACAUGUUCAUCUCCCAUGGGUCCAUUUUAAGAAAUGCAAACACUGUGCAAUUGCGCCUCCAGGCAAUGUAUACUUUCAUUUGUUAAAGAGGUGCAUUUCUCUUCUCCCUUCAUCCAUUCCAAUAGCCUAACUUAAUAAAAUAACCAGUUUCCUUCAAGAGUGUAUUUUCACUCUACUGUCUGAAAUAAUUCCUAUGACACACAGAAAUGGAAAAGGUACAAAUACACACUUGUUGUUUUGAGGAAUAUCAACCUUACAUAGCAUUGCAAGUUGCUAGAUUUAAAUAUCAUCUUUCUGAAACAUACCUGCUCCUACAAUUUCCUUAAUUCACGCAUUCAGACAAGACAGAAACAGAUGCUAUGAAAAAAACACAGCAAGAUGUCCCACGCGGAAGUGAAAAGGGGGCCAUAUUGCAUAUAGCUAAUGCA
Molecule: long non-coding RNA, 1812 nt
Organism: Cygnus olor (mute swan)
Lineage: Eukaryota; Metazoa; Chordata; Aves; Anseriformes; Anatidae
Exons: 3
Source: RefSeq, a predicted model, not a curated record